Molecule: transfer RNA, 60 nt
Filed under: Onisimus nanseni
Lineage: Eukaryota; Metazoa; Arthropoda; Malacostraca; Amphipoda; Lysianassidae
Description: tRNA-Cys
Source: RNAcentral
AGUUAGGUAUUGUAAACAACAUAGUAAAUUGCAAAUUUACAGAUGCUUUAGCUCUAGCUA